GACAGUGUGUAAAAUAUAAUUUUAAUACUGCAAAAUGUAUGUAUUUAAAUAGAGUAAAGACAAGUGUAUAGUAAGUCCUGACCUAAAGACAUUGCUGUCAGGUGUGGGUAAAAUCACUUGGGAAGAAUAUGAUGUGGCUGUCCAUGGUUCUGAUUUCUGUGUGCGUGUGUGUGCGCAUGUUCGUGCAAGUGCAAACAUGCUGACUGACCCUCCUUGCAGAGAAACUCCAAAUCAUCCUCCUCUCAUGUUGACGAAACGAUCACUCUGUCAUACAGUACAAGCUUUCAUUUUUUGUUGUCCUAGGCUACCUGGCAAAAAUGCUUGCUUGCUGGCUUAACUUGCUGGCUUAACUACAUAUUGAACUUCCAUCCUCUCAGGGGCAAAACAAUGUAUGUAUUAAUGGUUGGAUCAGAAUCACCAUAGAGAUCCUAUUCAAUUACUAGUGGGGCUGUGUCAUAAACCCUCAACGUUCCAGAAUGUAUUGUAAAAAAAACAAAAUAAGAAACAUUCCCCUUGUGUAUUGUUUAUAUCGUAGAUGGUUUAGACUGUUUGUACUCAGAGUAUAUAACUUUAUAGGGGAUCACUUUGGGAUAGAUUCUCUAGAUGUGCUUUUACUGCGACACCAUUUAUUGUGAUCCAAAUCUACAACAAAAUCGUCAUGAUAAUCUUUGAUGUAAAUCUAGAGCAGACCAGACAGAACUGGUGGUGCAUUAGGAGGAGAAGUGUUGAUUUACAGAGGCCACUACGACCUGAGAAGAGUUUCAACUAGAUUACACAGCCACAAAGUCAACGGACUAUAUCCUUAUAAUCUAUGAAAACAAAAAUGUGUUUUUUUUUAAUUUAAGGUUAGAGUUAGGUUUAUAAGCAGAUUUUAAUUAGAUCACUUGUAGAUAUAGGUGGGGUUUAUGACUUUGUGGCUUUGAUAACCAGUGAAGACCCCUGAGAAGAGGAAGACAAGUGAAGACAGCAGCUCAUUGGUGACUAAUAAUUACUUCUGCUUGACAUUUACAUUCUUUGAGUACUUGAAGUUGAUUUAUGAUAACAAUAGAUGUUUGUUUUUCCCACACAUUAGAUCAAUGUGGAUCAGAGUGUCCCAACUGCAUCGUCUCCACCAUAACACUCGCACGGGUCAUCCUCUUCAGCCUACAGGAAACCAGAUCAGAGAUAUCAUCAUCAUCAACAACAACACCUCUAUUGUUAUCUUAAUCCUUCAUAUUUCGAGCAAAGUUCUUCUCAGAUCUCUACAGUAGCUGUAAACAUAUGCAGUAGGCCGACAGUCAAGGUGUGAAUUACGGGCCAGGGGAGGCUCAGCUCCCCUGAAUGAGACAUUAGUUGCCCUAAAUGCAACAAAGUCAAACUUUGAGGGGGUCUCUAAUAAAUGCUAAUUUAACCAUUCUCCUAUUUGUUUGAAAUGUAGUGAUAAGUAUGUUUUACGGUGGUAAAUAUGGAAAUAAAAGCGUCCAAAUGAAACGAACACCCCCACCUCUCUGUCAUGGUUUAAACCAUUUAUUACUAUGUGGCAGCACUGUCCACCCAGUAGUGCUGAAUUUUGGCCUAAGCUGAGCUCCUUUGCGCAUAGAUUUUCCUUUGUAUUUCCUAAUUUUCACAAUUUCUUUGUCAUAUGUCCUUGAUAAAAAAAUAGCCUGUAUUCCAAUGCAUUAGGUUAAUCCGUUGAUUUAUCAUUGUUUGCUUUUGUCAGUCAGCUGUUUAGAGCACUCAUUGCUUUGUUUUUCAGGUGCGCACUAGUUUAUUAUUAUAAUUUUUUUGCAUAUAUGUUUUUAUAUAUAUAUAUAUCAUUUUUUUAAUUAAACCGUAACAUGCAAA
This 1824-nucleotide long non-coding RNA is filed under the name Salmo salar (Atlantic salmon). RNAcentral's name for it is "lncRNA (ENSSSAG00000113092.1)". The record is from RNAcentral. Lineage: Eukaryota; Metazoa; Chordata; Actinopteri; Salmoniformes; Salmonidae.